This 421-nucleotide ribosomal RNA is filed under the name uncultured bacterium. Its description in RNAcentral is "bacterial SSU rRNA". It matches the Rfam family "Bacterial small subunit ribosomal RNA", at positions 335 to 773 of the family's 1533-position model. The record is from RNAcentral.
ACUCCUACGGGAGGCAGCAGUGGGGAAUCUUAGACAAUGGGCGCAAGCCUGAUCUAGCCAUGCCGCGUGAGUGAUGAAGGCCUUAGGGUCGUAAAGCUCUUUCGCCUGUGAUGAUAAUGACAGUAGCAGGUAAAAGAAACCCCGGCUAACUCCGUGCCAGCAGCCGCGGUAAUACGGAGGGGGUUAGCGUUGUUCGGAAUUACUGGGCGUAAAGCGCACGUAGGCGGAUUGGAAAGUUGGGGUGAAAUCCCGGGGCUCAACCCCGGAACGGCCUCCAAAACUCCCAGUCUGGAGUUCGAGAGAGGUGAGUGGAAUUCCGAGUGUAGAGGUGAAAUUCGUAGAUAUUCGGAGGAACACCAGUGGCGAAGGCGGCUCACUGGCUCGAUACUGACGCUGAGGUGCGAAAGUGUGGGGAGCAAAC